UAGUCCACGCCGUAAACGUUGGGCACUAGGUGUGGGGUUCUAUCGACGGAUUCCGUGCCGUAGCUAACGCAUUAAGUGCCCCGCCUGGGGAGUACGGCCGCAAGGCUAAAACUCAAAGGAAUUGACGGGGGCCCGCACAAGCGGCGGAGCAUGUGGCUUAAUUCGAUGCGACGCGAAGAACCUUACCUGGGUUUGACAUGUAGGGAAAAGCCGUAGAGAUACGGUGUCCUUCGGGGCCUUACAC
RNAcentral lists this ribosomal RNA (244 nucleotides) under uncultured bacterium. RNAcentral's name for it is "partial 16S ribosomal RNA". It matches the Rfam family "Bacterial small subunit ribosomal RNA", at positions 791 to 1035 of the family's 1533-position model. The record is from RNAcentral.